This 2429-nucleotide long non-coding RNA is filed under the name Glycine max (soybean). RNAcentral's name for it is "long non-coding RNA (GMAX_LNC004478)". The record is from RNAcentral. Lineage: Eukaryota; Viridiplantae; Streptophyta; Magnoliopsida; Fabales; Fabaceae.
AAGCACUUCUAUGUCAUCCCUCUGCGUGGCACACGGAUAUAAGCAUGGAAAUGGAAACACCAUGAUCAGAAACAGGAUUUUCAGGUAAUCGUCAAUAACAAAGCUCAGUUUCAAUUAAUUAAUGGAAUCAUUACUCUAUCAACUGAAGACUAGGUAAUCAUUUGUUGACCUAACUUACUAGCAAUCAUUACUCAAAGAAUGCAAUAUGUUAGUUCCUUGUGUUACAUGCAUUAUCAACGCAAGAGAAUAGCAAUACAUUGGCAUGAAAAGGUUGAGUGUGAGAGGUACAAUACCUGAGCAAAAGAAUACAUGAGACUAGUACUGAGGGAUCUUGGAGCAGACCAAGAAUGAAUCACCUCCACUGCACUCUCCGCCAUUUCUCACUGACUCAGUUCACCACGCUAAGCUGAUUCAAUUUUUUUUAUUACUAGAGUAUGGAAUCGAUUGGGAUUGCCACUUUUCUUUGUGAGAAUCCCAAUAAAACAGAAUAUAAAAAGACGGGUCAAAAUCUCGAAACAGGAACCAAUCCCGAGGAAUCUCAAAGGAUUAAACAAGUUUUUUUUUUUUUUUCAAAUGCUAACUCCUGUCUCAAGCAUUUGAUGAAGGAAUUAAAAAAAUAUAUAUUAGAUAUAAAAAAUUAUGUUUUCCAUAAAUUUUUUUCAUAUUCUCUUCUUCUUUUAGUUUCUUGAACUAAUUUAUUAAGGGUAACAGAAACAUAAUAAAGCAAAGAAAGAAAGUAACUACUGAAGUGUACGGUCUAGUUAGAUGGUGAUGAUGAUGAUGACCAGAAUGACCCGUGAUGCAUUUGGUUUGGCUUUUUGUCUUGUAGUUGCUACCACUUAUUAACAGUUGCAAUUGCAUAAAUGUUAGGUCUGGCCAGCAGAGAGCAGAUCAAAGGGGUUAAGUGGUUAACUAAGAUAGAAUGGAUGAGAAAGGCCUUCGUCCUCGUCCACGUGCUGGAACCAUGUCUUCUUGACAACUGUGACAUAAAAUCCGAUGUAUUAUCCAAUUAUUCUUGUAUUACAUUUACAGCUAUCUGGCAAUUCGCAUUGAACAAUUCUAAUCUUAUCACAAUGUCUUAAAGUAGGAUAAGUCUUAGGUUUUUAUGUUUUCCAAUUAAUCUUCUUGUUUGCUUUUCUAAUGGCAAGUAUCCAAUGUCUUUCUUCAACGUUUUUAAGAGGAUUUUGUGAGUUUAAAAUAAGUUACACAUAUAUCUAUUGUGUAUUAUUCAAUCAUAUGAUUUAUUUUUUCACAUCUAAUUAAGUUUAAUUUUUUAUUUUUUCAAUUAAAGUCUAAGAACUUUUUAAUAAAUUUGAUAUAUUUUUUUUAUUUCUAUUUUAAUGUAUUUUAAAAAGACACUUACAUCCUUAAUUAAUUCCUAAUUUUUCUAAUUCUGAACAUAGUCUUCUCUGUGUUCUAUUAAUAUUUCCCACCAUCGUCAACUAUCUGAAGGUAAUAUUGGUGAAGGUAAUAAUUGGUUUGGUGUUUGUCGUGAUGGGUUUCACAGCAACUUCUUGGGGAUAUGGCCUUGUCCUCCAGUUUUUGGUUUUGAAGUUAUAUAUAUAAAUAAGAUCUUAUUAAUUAAUGUCUUUAAAUAUUAAUUAAUGAACUAAAAAAAAAUAUUUAUCAUAAGAAAUUAUCUUUUAGAAUUUUCAUUCUCUAGUUGUUUAAACUUUACACAAUGACAUAGUCAAGUCAUGUAAGUAGGUUUUUACCUCAUAUCAAACCUUCAAAAAAGUUUUUUCUAAUUGAUAUAACUAUAACUUAACAUUCUGAUUUUGUAAAAUGUGUCCUAAUUUUUGUUCAUGUAAAAUCUUUUAGAAUUGAUCAUACCUUCAGAUAGGACAUAACAAACCUUCAAAUUUAACUUGUAACAAGAGAAAAACGACUAACAUGUUUUCAUCUCAAAAUGCUUAAUUCAUAUUAAAAUUUAAAUAUUUUAUAUUUAGUUUAUAUUAAUAUUUAAGAUUUUUUUUUGAUAUAGACUAUUGUAGUGUUUGGGAUUUUAUGAAUAGGAAUCAUCCUCCAAAAAGUUGACAAGAAAACUUUAUUGUUUGGUGCCUUGGUAGUUUAUAUUCAGUUUUAUAAAACUAAUAUCCAUUUAAAGCAAGCACUACUAUCUUUGUUAAUGGUGCAAGCUUGUCACAACUUUUGGAGGAGGAUUCCUUUUCACAAAUCACUUCCUGUAAAGAAACACAUCAUUCAGUUCGUUGCGUACACGUGUUAUCCACUGUCUGUGGCCAAUUCUCGUCCCCCAAACUUGUCCUUACCUUCUUUUAAUCCAAACAUGUUAAAAUGGAGCAAAACAUAAAAAAAGACAUGAAUUCUAUUUUGUGUUCAGUGUGUUUUUAAAACAUCAAACAGAUAAUAUUAUUCUUUUUUUUUUAUAUAGCAAGCGGAACGAAAAAAGAAGCUACAGAACGCCAAAG